RNAcentral lists this ribosomal RNA (245 nucleotides) under uncultured bacterium. RNAcentral's name for it is "partial 16S ribosomal RNA". It matches the Rfam family "Bacterial small subunit ribosomal RNA", at positions 88 to 334 of the family's 1533-position model. The record is from RNAcentral.
AUGGCGACCGGCGCACGGGUGAGUAACACGUAUCCAACCUGCCGAUAACUCGGGGAUAGCCUUUCGAAAGAAAGAUUAAUACCCGAUGGUAUAAUCAGACCGCAUGGUUUGAUUAUUGAAGAAUUUCGGUUAUCGAUGGGGAUGCGUUCCAUUAGGCAGUUGGUGAGGUAACGGCUCACCAAACCUUCGAUGGAUAGGGGUUCUGAGAGGAAGGUCCCCCACAUUGGAACUGAGACACGGUCCAA